RNAcentral lists this long non-coding RNA (558 nucleotides) under Felis catus (domestic cat). RNAcentral describes it as "lncRNA (ENSFCAG00000048226.1)". The record is from RNAcentral. Lineage: Eukaryota; Metazoa; Chordata; Mammalia; Carnivora; Felidae.
UGCCGGCUCAAACCCACAUACUGUAAGAUCAUGACCUGAGCUGAAGUCGGACACUUAACUGCACCCAGGCACCCCAAUCACAUCUUUAAUAAAGAAAGGGGAAAGGAGCAAAGAAACACUUAAGUUGAUUUUAUUAAAUGUAGGCACCGGAGGAGAGAAUUCAAGUUCCAAAACAAUUCGUUAAAGAGGCUGGAUUUAGUUCUCAUUUAUUUGGUAACCUUUCUAAUAUUAAUCAUCAUGUUGAGGAUUCUGUGAGAAAUGAUACAAAAUAUAAUAGAAGAGGACCAUCAUGGUGUUCCUUAGAGAUUAACUAGAAAAGGGUCAUCUCCAACUUUUGGUUGAAGUCCAUCCUGCUUCUACUUCUGAAAGGCAGCAAGUUUUCCUGGAAAGAACAUCAAGGUGAUAGGGUUGUAGUCUGAAUACAAAUUCUAUAUUACUCUCCUUGGGCGGGUGGUAAGCUCAUUUUCUACAGUAAAAUGUGAAUAAUGCUAAAGGCCAAAUUACCCAUAUUCUAGGAAUGUUGUUAAAAUAAAACAGGGUAAUGGAUUUGAAAGUACA